This 871-nucleotide ribosomal RNA is filed under the name uncultured bacterium. Its description in RNAcentral is "bacterial SSU rRNA". It matches the Rfam family "Bacterial small subunit ribosomal RNA", at positions 51 to 935 of the family's 1533-position model. The record is from RNAcentral.
ACACAUGCAAGUCGAACGAGCGAGAGAGAGCUUGCUUUCUCGAGCGAGUGGCGAACGGGUGAGUAACGCGUGAGGAACCUGCCUCAAAGAGGGGGACAACAGUUGGAAACGACUGCUAAUACCGCAUAAGCCCACGGUGCCGCAUGGCACAGAGGGAAAAGGAGUAAUCCGCUUUGAGAUGGCCUCGCGUCCGAUUAGCUAGUUGGUGAGGUAACGGCCCACCAAGGCGACGAUCGGUAGCCGGACUGAGAGGUUGAACGGCCACAUUGGGACUGAGACACGGCCCAGACUCCUACGGGAGGCAGCAGUGGGGAAUAUUGCACAAUGGGGGAAACCCUGAUGCAGCGACGCCGCGUGGAGGAAGAAGGUCUUCGGAUUGUAAACUCCUGUUGUUGGGGAAGAUAAUGACGGUACCCAACAAGGAAGUGACGGCUAACUACGUGCCAGCAGCCGCGGUAAAACGUAGGUCACAAGCGUUGUCCGGAAUUACUGGGUGUAAAGGGAGCGCAGGCGGGAAGACAAGUUGGAAGUGAAAUCUAUGGGCUCAACCCAUAAACUGCUUUCAAAACUGUUUUUCUUGAGUAGUGCAGAGGUAGGCGGAAUUCCCGGUGUAGCGGUGGAAUGCGUAGAUAUCGGGAGGAACACCAGUGGCGAAGGCGGCCUACUGGGCACCAACUGACGCUGAGGCUCGAAAGUGUGGGUAGCAAACAGGAUUAGAUACCCUGGUAGUCCACACCGUAAACGAUGAUUACUAGGUGUUGGAGGAUUGACCCCUUCAGCGCCGCAGUUAACACAAUAAGUAAUCCACCUGGGGAGUACGACCGCAAGGUUGAAACUCAAAGGAAUUGACGGGGGCCCGCACAAGCAGUGG